Molecule: long non-coding RNA, 1455 nt
Organism: Gorilla gorilla gorilla (western lowland gorilla)
Lineage: Eukaryota; Metazoa; Chordata; Mammalia; Primates; Hominidae
Exons: 5
Source: RefSeq, a predicted model, not a curated record
GACAAACUCUGGGUCUUAGAGAUGUAUAUGCUUCACUUGUUUUUAGCAUUGGGCGUGAAGAUCCAAGGGGGUAGCAAUCACAGAGCAUGGAAAGGGUCUGAGUUUGGGGACAGACACACAGAGGAGAGAUACACAUAAGAGGAGUAGGUGACAUGAAGAUGGAUCAAGGAGAGACACAGCCACAAGCCAAGGGACAGCUGCAGCCACCAGAAGCUGGAAAAGGAAAGGAUCACAUUCAUCCCUAGAGCCUCUGGGGGGUAGUAGAGGAUGUCUACAGCUUUUUUUGGAAAACCUCAGAUAUGACAGGGAAAAAGAACAAAAAAUUGAAGAAAACAAAGAGUACAGUAAAACUGUGAGAGGGAAAGGAGGAAACAGAAAAAAUGAAAGAAAGAGAUGAGGAGAUUGAGGCUCAGAGGGACUAAGCAACCUUCCCAAAGUUUCCCAUCUGGUAUGGGUAUUGUAUAAUGAAGAUCCAGGAUACUGCAAAGCCAAUUAAACACAAAGGACAUAACUUUCACCUCAGGAGAUGCACACGUGCCCACAAAACCCGCCACUGAGCUGCCUCUUUCUCUAUGUCUGCAUUUCAGACCAUCUCUAAAACAUUCGUGGGCAGCUCAUAAUUCUUGCCAAAUCCAUAUUUAACCUUCUGCAGCCACAUUAGUGGACAUGGCUUCAGCAUUCGUUGCCUAGAAAACAGAUCAAUAGGCUCUACAUUUUGAAGGGCAUCAAAUCCUCCCGGUCAGGGGCAGAGAGGCGGUGGGCCAGAGAAGAGCCAGCAGCAGUCAGAUUGAGCCUCACUGCACUGCCUGCACCGGACGGAACAGAACCUUUCUGGGGCUUGCCGGGCAUCCCGCACCUAGCGGGGGCUGAGUUGCUGUGCUUCUCCUGGGCACUCCGAAAUGCAUCAGCCUGGGCCAACAAAUCAAAGCCGAAGCUCAAACUAAUUACAGUCUGUGUGUGGCCAGGGCAAUCCCAACAACUCCCAUGAUUAAACUUCAGAGGGGUUUUGAAACGUCUGCAGGUAGACACAUUCCAGCCCAGCCGUCUUUUCUCCCUUCAGCAUCUUCAACAAACUCUUGGGCAAGAUUACAGGAGAUUCUCCCUUUCUCUAUUAUAUGUUUCUGUAACAAGUUGAGUCUCUUUAAAUGGUAAGCAGAUAUCCUUCUUAUCAAAAAAAUAAUGCUUAAAAAUCACCUCCAGCUCAAUAUUCUUUUAUAUCAUUGCUGUAUCUGAAUAACAUGUUCAAAUGAAAACUGUGUUGCCUCUGUUUGAGUCACAAUCAUUAAGGGCUGAGCUGCUUCCAAAGACCACAAAGAAUGUGCUUCUCUUCAAUUUAAAUGAUUAUCUCAAUGUGGAAUAUGAGUAGGUUUUGUUGGGGUCUUUGAAACCGUUUCUGGGUUACAUAUAAUAAAGUCUGUGCCAUUCACAGCCAUGAAUAAAAUAAGUUGUAAAUGA